RNAcentral lists this ribosomal RNA (253 nucleotides) under uncultured bacterium. RNAcentral describes it as "partial 16S ribosomal RNA". It matches the Rfam family "Bacterial small subunit ribosomal RNA", at positions 524 to 776 of the family's 1533-position model. The record is from RNAcentral.
UACAGAGGGGGCAAGCGUUGUUCGGAAUUACUGGGCGUAAAGAGCUCGUAGGCGGUUUGUCGCGUCGAAUGUGAAAUCCCGGGGCUCAACCCCGGGCCUGCAUUCGAUACGGGCAGACUAGAGUUCGGUAGGGGAGUCUGGAAUUCCUGGUGUAGCGGUGAAAUGCGCAGAUAUCAGGAGGAACACCGGUGGCGAAGGCGGGACUCUGGGCCGAUACUGACGCUGAGGAGCGAAAGCGUGGGGAGCAAACAGG